GGAGAGAUGGCCGAGUGGUCGAAGGCGCUUGACUCGAAAUCAAGUAUAGGCGGAAGCCUAUCUAGGGUUCGAAUCCCUAUCUCUCCGCCA
This 90-nucleotide transfer RNA is filed under the name Betaproteobacteria bacterium. RNAcentral describes it as "tRNA-Ser". It matches the Rfam family "tRNA". Rfam says of the family: Transfer RNA (tRNA) molecules are approximately 80 nucleotides in length. The record is from RNAcentral. RNAcentral also lists the same sequence under 2 other names. Lineage: Bacteria; Pseudomonadati; Pseudomonadota; Betaproteobacteria.